RNAcentral lists this ribosomal RNA (551 nucleotides) under uncultured Glomeromycotina. RNAcentral describes it as "SSU rRNA". It matches the Rfam family "Eukaryotic small subunit ribosomal RNA", at positions 548 to 1098 of the family's 1831-position model. Lineage: Eukaryota; Fungi; Glomeromycota. The record is from RNAcentral.
UUGGAGGGCAAGUCUGGUGCCAGCAGCCGCGGUAAUUCCAGCUCCAAUAGCGUAUAUUAAAGUUGUUGCAGUUAAAAAGCUCGUAGUUGAAUUUCGGGAUCAAUACGUCGGUCGUGCUUUUUUGGUACGCACUGGCGUCAUAGGUUUCUCCUUUCUGACGAACCAUGAUGUCAUUAAUUUGGUGUUAUGGGGAGAUAGGACUGUUACUUUGAAAAAAUUAGAGUGUUUAAAGCAGGCAUUAGCUUGAAUACAUUAGCAUGGAAUAAUGAAAUAGGACGUUCGAUCCUAUUUUGUUGGUUUCUAGGAUCAACGUAAUGAUUAAUAGGGAUAGUUGGGGGCAUUAGUAUUCAAUUGUCAGAGGUGAAAUUCUUGGAUUUAUUGAAGACUAACUACUGCGAAAGCAUUUGCCAAGGAUGUUUUCAUUAAUCAAGAACGAAAGUUAGGGGAUCGAAGACGAUCAGAUACCGUCGUAGUCUUAACCGUAAACUAUGCCGACUAGGGAUCGGAUGAUGUUAAUUUUUUAAUGACUCAUUCGGCGCCUUACGGGAAAC